Molecule: long non-coding RNA, 853 nt
Organism: Microplitis mediator
Lineage: Eukaryota; Metazoa; Arthropoda; Insecta; Hymenoptera; Braconidae
Exons: 3
Source: RefSeq, a predicted model, not a curated record
GCAUCACUCACAACGGUGCUUGGGAAGGGGAAGUUUUCGUCCGCGAUCUGGCUGCACUGUUUGCUAUACGAGUGCAAAAACCACGCGAAUAAAAUUACAAAUUAUUUUAUUUAAAUUAAAUUACUGGAUCAACAUAGAAUCAACAAGUGUUAUCAUUCACUUCUGCUCUUGUGGACUUCUUUGUAAAUGUGAUUUAAUCAAUUAAGUUUCAAUUAUUCAACAUUUGUGCAUUGAAGCUGAUGUUCAGGUGACCAGCAACUGCCGACAAAUUUCUCAUAUUGCUAGAAAUUGUUUUGUCUCAAGACUACAAACCCGAUAGUGCAAUAAACAAGAAGAAAAUAACUGAUCUGGAAUUACUGGUGGGGAUUCAGCCUCUGGUAUUUUUUUCAGCCGUCAGAUCUUCUAUUGUCGUUGAAAAAUCUUCUGCAGUGAAUAUUUUUUUAUUUAAAUAAGAAGUUAUUGUUUGAAAAAUAUAUUAAUUUGUUUAAAUUUUUUAAUUAAUUUAAUUUAAUUGAUUGUUAUUAUAAAUUUAGUUUGCAUUUGUAUUCUUAUAUAUGAUCAUAUAUUUAUUUACAAUAUACUUUUUGAUUAUGAAAUAAUCGUAUUCGUGAUGACCACAAGGAGCUUCGACUCUAUGGCCAAAAACUGAAAUAAAAGAGAAAAUGAAAUUGAUAGCUUUCAGUUAACGCUCUAGCAAGAUUAAAUAAUAAAUUACUAGACCUUAAAUUAUUCAAAAAAGAACAUAUACAAUCUAAAAUUUUAUGUAACUUUAUUUUUACAAGUAGAUACAAAUCUACUAUACAUUGAGGUUUUUAAUUAUUUGUAACCAAUGUUGUCAUUUUUAUUUUAUUUA